UGUUUCUCUCCACAGGUCGGGCUGAGGAAACGAAAGCGAACUGCCAAUGAAAAGUAGUAAGAGUUGGUCCGCUGGAGCCACCUACAAGCGGGGAACUGAAAAUCUCCAUGCGGCAACCAACGGUGUUUCCCAGAACUGCUGCAUCUCCCUCCAAUGGGUGUCAUACUGGUGUGUGACAAAUGGGAAAUGAACAUGAAGGAUUUCUUUGGCUGGCCUACGCAGAAUUUCCAAAGGUGGAGAUGCAUAAGAUUCCCCAGAACAGUAUUUCUUUUGGAAUGAAGCAGACAGAGUGUACUAUGCUCCAGGUUACUAACAGUUAAAGGACUUUGUACCUGGACCUAA
Long non-coding RNA from Anguilla anguilla (European eel), 342 nucleotides. RefSeq lists it as uncharacterized. Lineage: Eukaryota; Metazoa; Chordata; Actinopteri; Anguilliformes; Anguillidae. The transcript is spliced from 4 exons. The record is from RefSeq and is a predicted model, not a curated record.